RNAcentral lists this non-coding RNA (30 nucleotides) under Mus musculus (house mouse). The record is from RNAcentral. Lineage: Eukaryota; Metazoa; Chordata; Mammalia; Rodentia; Muridae.
UAAUGACUCUAAACCGUGCAAUACAAAUCC